Molecule: non-coding RNA, 45 nt
Organism: Schistosoma mansoni
Lineage: Eukaryota; Metazoa; Platyhelminthes; Trematoda; Strigeidida; Schistosomatidae
Source: Rfam
ACCAGGCUGACGAGUCUCAAGUAGGACGAAACACGUGUCCUGGAU